RNAcentral lists this transfer RNA (72 nucleotides) under Dipodomys ordii (Ord's kangaroo rat). It matches the Rfam family "tRNA". Rfam says of the family: Transfer RNA (tRNA) molecules are approximately 80 nucleotides in length. The record is from Rfam by way of RNAcentral. Lineage: Eukaryota; Metazoa; Chordata; Mammalia; Rodentia; Heteromyidae.
GGGAAGCUGGCUCAGUGGUAGAGUGCUUGCCUUGCAUGCAUGAAGCCCUGGGUUCGAUUCCUCAGCACCACA